RNAcentral lists this ribosomal RNA (292 nucleotides) under uncultured bacterium. RNAcentral's name for it is "partial 16S ribosomal RNA". It matches the Rfam family "Bacterial small subunit ribosomal RNA", at positions 505 to 796 of the family's 1533-position model. The record is from RNAcentral.
GUGCCAGCAGCCGCGGUAAUACGGAGGGAGCUAGCGUUGUUCGGAAUUACUGGGCGUAAAGCGCGCGUAGGCGGCUAUUCAAGUCAGAGGUGAAAGCCCGGGGCUCAACCCCGGAAUUGCCUUUGAAACUAGAUAGCUAGAAUCUGGGAGAGGUGAGUGGAAUUCCGAGUGUAGAGGUGAAAUUCGUAGAUAUUCGGAAGAACACCAGUGGCGAAGGCGGCUCACUGGACCAGAAUUGACGCUGAGGUGCGAAAGCGUGGGGAGCAAACAGGAUUAGAUACCCUAGUAGUCC